ACGUAGGGGGCUAGCGUUGUCCGGAUUUACUGGGCGUAAAGCGCGUGCAGGCGGUUCGUUAAGUCCCGUGUUAAAGCCUCCAGCUCAACUGGAGAACGCCGCGGGAUACUGGCGAGCUUGAGGGCGGUAGAGGGUGAUGGAAUUCCCGGUGUAGCGGUGAAAUGCGUAGAUAUCGGGAGGAACGCCAGUGGCGAAGGCGGUCACCUGGGCCGUCCCUGACGCUGAGACGCGACAGCUGGGGGAGCGAACGGGA
This 253-nucleotide ribosomal RNA is filed under the name uncultured prokaryote. RNAcentral describes it as "partial 16S ribosomal RNA". It matches the Rfam family "Bacterial small subunit ribosomal RNA", at positions 525 to 777 of the family's 1533-position model. The record is from RNAcentral.